UGCGUAGGCGGUCUAUUAAGUCAGUGGUGAAAUCCUGCGGCUCAACCGUAGAACUGCCAUUGAUACUGAUAUUCUUGAAUGUAGUUGAGGUAGGCGGAAUGUGUAAUGUAGCGGUGAAAUGCUUAGAUAUUACACAGAACACCGAUUGCGAAGGCAGCUUACUAAACUAUGAUUGACGCUGAGGCACGAAAGCGUGGGGAGCGAACAGGAUUAGAUACCCUGGUAGUCC
RNAcentral lists this ribosomal RNA (229 nucleotides) under uncultured bacterium. RNAcentral describes it as "partial 16S ribosomal RNA". It matches the Rfam family "Bacterial small subunit ribosomal RNA", at positions 568 to 796 of the family's 1533-position model. The record is from RNAcentral.